UGCAGAAUCCCGUGAACCAUCGAGUUUUUGAACGCAAGUUGCGCCUAAAGCCAUUCGGUUAAGGGCACGUCUGCCUGGGCGUCACGC
RNAcentral lists this ribosomal RNA (87 nucleotides) under Berlandiera texana. RNAcentral's name for it is "partial 5.8S ribosomal RNA". It matches the Rfam family "5.8S ribosomal RNA", at positions 73 to 154 of the family's 154-position model. Rfam says of the family: 5.8S ribosomal RNA (5.8S rRNA) is a component of the large subunit of the eukaryotic ribosome. It is transcribed by RNA polymerase I as part of the 45S precursor that also contains 18S and 28S rRNA. Lineage: Eukaryota; Viridiplantae; Streptophyta; Magnoliopsida; Asterales; Asteraceae. The record is from RNAcentral.